AUUCAUUUUCUGGCAUCUAACCCUGAGACAAGGGAUCUAAAAAGACAGAUAGUGUAUUUUCUGGGAUCUUUGUCCAAAGCGUUAACAAUCAGAAAGGACAGAGAGCAGGAUGUAAGAGUCAAACAGGGAAAGGAGGGAAACUAAAAGUGGAACAACAGCUGUUAGAUACUAAGCAGAUUUUAAAGCAUAGUGAAUACUUCGACCAGCCUGAGACUGCAGAGAUCAGUGACAGAAGGACAAUGAGCAGUCAGAACUGGAAUCAUGAAGAAUUUCUGAGGUCCAAACUAAGCCCGUACCAUAUGAACCUGUGGGCACAGGAAAUGAACUACUAACCCUACAGGAACUGAAUGUUCUACUCUUAGGCAUUUUUUAGAAAUGACUCCAGUGUCCUCUGUCCUGAAGAGCACUGAUUUCAUCACUCCAAGGCCAAAUAAGGCACAUUUACUUUUUAAAUGCUUAUCCUUCUGUUCCCUGUAGGAAUAUUUCAAUCAAAGGUUUUUCUGGCUCUGAUAUGAAACAAUUUAUUCCUUGACGGCAAAGAGUAUAUUCAAGAGUCAUUUGUAUUUAGAAGACUUAAUACAAAAAUGACACAACAAAGUUUUGUGUUCAUACCAGUUCUGAUAGAGGAAAACGAUUAAAUAAAUUCCUAGUACAAGCGAUUUUCAUUCAGUUGAGGCUCCGGAGAAGUAGGAGCUGCUUGCCAUGUAUGAACUAAUCUAUAACUAGAAGCCUGAGGAGAAUCAACUCAAUGCCUCCAGUGACUGCUCUUUCUGCGUCAGGUGGCAACACUGUCACUAAAUUAGAAGGAAGAAGCUCCAAGAAAUCCAGCUGAGUAUGUGUGGAGAAUAUCUGUGCACUUUUGGCACCACCACCACCAAUAAUUUUUCUUUUCUUUUCCCAUUGUCUAGAUUCUUUCAGCUCAUUACAGCCACAUAAGAUGUAGAGCCAGUCAUAUAUGAAACUCAUGGUCUCAUGGUGUUAAUCUGUCCCACAGACAGAUGUCCAAAAAAGAAAGAAGAGGGCACAAAAAUGAAUAAAUAAAUAAAUAGAUAGAUAAAUAGAUAGAUUCUGGAGGAUGGUAUGAACAAGUUGUAGAUUUUAACUUGUAGGUAUUUAUAUUUCUUAAUGACUCAAACUUCAAUUUCUUUCAACUUAAAAGUUUUAAAAUCUAAUAACAUAUAUAUACACAUACAUAUAUUUGUCUGACAAUGCUGGAGAAUUUUAAAUUUGAAAGUAUUAUUACGAUAGUCUGAAAAACAGCCAUACUUUAGAGGGUUUUUUUGGACUGUUUCAGUUAAGAAAAGUAGUCAAUGAUGGGGUCAUGCAUUUAUUUGACACAGCCAUUUUCAUUCACUAAAAAUAAAGAAAGUGCUGUUUCUCUGAGAACAGGAAUAAACAAAUUACAGGAGACAAGUUCUGUGCUCAAAUCCUCAAGGGCUGUUCAGACAGGAGCUGACCUAAGCCUUCCCUUUGGGUUCCUUUCAGGACAACAUGUAUUUUGCUUUCCACUAGCUGUGUUCAUACUGUCUAGUUGACAUGAAAAGCUUCAUGAGAUUUUCUUCAAAAGUACAUAUUAGUAUAAUCAUAAGUGAGGUAUAAAGACUAAAUAAGCAGAAACCUUAUUCUAUACUUCUAUUCUUUCUGAAUGUUGUUCCUUGAAUACUGAACAGAACUGCUAUUUUUAGGCUUGUAAACACUCAGCUGCAUGUUAUCUUAUAGCUUCCUGAUCACUUACUGACAGCUUUUGAUUUACUUUACGGCUUUUUUUUUUUUAUUUUAUUUUAUGGAGUUUUAUUUGUGCAAAAAUAACAAUAAUAAUAAAAAUAAAAAUAAAAAAUAAAAAAGAACAUAAGUAAAGACAUAAAACACAAAUGAGCAAGCAGCACUCUUCAGUUUGCACAUACUGUAACCUAAAAUGUAGUGACAACAAUAAGCAAUACAUUGUCAAAGUAGGGUUUUUUUUUAUUUUUAAACCCAUUCCAGGGUGCACAAAUGGGACAUCCUAUUUAGUAAUGGUGCAUUAGCUCUCUUCAUAACAAUAAACACAAAGUGGGGCUCAGGACACAAAAUCUUUUAAUCACAUUGGAUAGCUCUAGAAGAUAAGGAAUAAAUGAACAAAACAAAAAAUACAACAAACACAUCCAUUCUGAUAACUUUUUUUUUUUUUUUUUUUUUUUUGAGCUAUUCUGUAAACAAUGAUCUGUGCCAGAUGUGCGACAGCAACAGUAUCUCCCUCCAUUCACUUAUGCGGGGAAAUAAGCUGUCAUUUGUCUCCUUUGUGGCUGAAUACUGAAGAUGCCUUACUCUUUAUUCAGCAAAUUACAUUCUUUAACAUCCCAGUGCGAAGUCCUACUGAAAAAAAAAAAAAAAAAAAAAAAAGGGCAUAAAGAAGAAAGUUAUUAUCACAAAAUGAAAUUGGAAACAAUGCCUACUCUUCAUGAAAUGUUCUGUCAUAAUGAAUUCUCUUUGUCAGAAAAAUCAGGAAUUCGCACAAUGGGCAGAUAUCAGUACAUGAGAACUCUCUAUUGGUGUAUUAAUCAUUAUUUAGACUGCUUCUAAUAUGAUAUAUGAAUGCAAUCAAUCGCAUACAUUUUGUCUCAAUAUAUUCUUCAGCCUCGUGAGUUGAAGGUAAAGCCUUUUAUGCAAACCAUUAAUGUAAAUGGUUUUCAUUACCAUUUUAUUUCAUCAAUUUGGAACACUUAUCCCUUGUACCAGUGUAAGCCUUGGGCCACAAAAGUGAUUUCAUAUAUAUAUAUUUUUAAUUACUUCUUCCAUUCACAGCAUUAGGCGAUACUUCAGAAAAAAAUACAUAUAUUUUAAGAAACACAAGCUUUUCCCAUCCAUUGCACUGAAAAAAAUUACAAGGACACCUUACUAAAUGUAUGUGCUACCAAAGUACUCAAUGGAAGUACAUUCAUGUUAAAAAAAUUGACUUAUUAUGUGCACAGGAUAGCUCAACACUAACUGCAGCAUUUAUUGUAAUUUCAGAGGCACAUAAGUUUUAAGUGAAAUUUGAAAUGAAAACCUUGUGAAAUUACUCAUUUUUCUAAUUCUUUCAGCACCAACUUUAUGAUGUCUAGUACAAAUACCAUAUUAGACCAUAGCAGUAAGUGUGCAAGCUAGCAAGGAAAAAUGUAUCCUACAUUAGUCCUACUGGGACAUGACUAGUCAACUAUUUCUCUACUUUCUUUUUUAUCUUCUGAAUUGAUAUUAAUAUACAACAAUAUUUAUUAAUUUAGAAUAUAUAUAUACAAUUCAUAUGUAUAUUUAUAUUUUAUAGAAAUGAUUACAAUUCACCCUAUAUUUUAUUUGUCAGAACAAAGAGGCUAGCUAGCUAAGAAAAACAAAUCAGAAAUAAAAAUAAAAGGAAAACUACAGUGAAACACUGAGACAAGAACAAACCUGCUACCACAAAUUAAAAUUAUAAAAAGUGAGUAAUGAAGGUUUCCCAUCUGAAACCUAAUCAAUUUGCCUUCAGACAAUCAAGGGGUGCCUGUAGCUUUGGGAAUUCAUAUUCAGAAUAAAAAUACAGGCAUUUGUAAAGUGUACAAGUUAAAGCUGUCUUUGCCUGAAUGAAAUAAUGGAGAUAGUAUUUUAAACAAAGUUACCAUAAAAAUUCGUAUCAUGAGCAAAAUUACCAACUUCAACUAUUUUCAUAGCUUGUGAAGGGAUAUUUUUUUCUAUAGUAUUUAUUAUUCUGGCAUAAUAUCAAGAUACUGUGAAGGAUGGGAUUAAUCUGAGUUUAUCAGAAGAGGCCUCUUUAAUAGCCAAACAGGCACUGAUGUGUCCAGUAAUCUAUCUAGAACUAGGGCAGCAGGACAAUAACUACUUGUUCAACAGCCAUAUUUAUCUUCAAAGAUUGUAGCAAUUAACUUAAAUGUAAAUGUCCAAAUUCUUCACGCUUCAAGUUAACAGACAGGAAUUUCUCUUGGAAGGAUUCAGUUUUCAUAAGUGACCAGGGACAGUUUUGAACACAUAAGUGUGCAUAUUUGUAAAUCCUUCAUUUAUUCCUACCCAUUGUUCUGCAGUCAAUUCUGCUUUCUCACAUAAAUUGCAUAUAUCAAAAUGUCUCAUAAAUGAUAUUCAGAUAGUAUCAUCUGUGAGAUUCUGGAAGAAUCAUUAAAAUUGGAGUCUCCAGGGUCUCAUUUAGACCUUAAUAUAAUGAAAAGUAAUCUUCAUUUCUAGAUCCUCAUGCUCUGAUAAUUCCAGAAAUAUGCUGUGUCCAAGUUGUUUGUUUCUUGAACAGUAGUAUUCCAGAAUGUUUCAUAAUAUCAUCUUGAAUAAUUAUGCAAAUAUUUUACCAUCUGUAUCAGUAAUACUUCAACUAACAUUAUCUUGAAACUCUUUCAUCAUUACUGUUUAGGGUUGUUGGCAUAUAGUCAUUCAAAAAUGAACUAAAAUGAACUUUUCUCUUACUCUGAAAUUUAAAAUCAUUUCUUUCCAGUUUUCCAUUCUGCAUUUCCAAAGUAAAUUAACUAAUAAAUGCCAGACUUGGUUACAUCUUGUUCUUGUUGGAAUAAAAAUAAAUAAAUAAAAUAAACUCAAUGUACUCAAAUAAUGCAGAACUAAUUGUGUUAUAUAUGACAUUAUUUUAUAUAAUUAUAUUCUCUUCUUAGAUUACACCGUUCUCCAAACACUAGCUUAGCACUGCUUUUAUUUCUUUGAGAGAUAUACUUUUCAUUUUUGUCUGUUGUAAAGUAACUUUACUAAAAUAAGUUUGAUACUGUUGCACCCAGUAUUUAUAAAUAAGUAGUCACCAAAACCUGUAGCUGUAGAUACACACAUUUCUUCUAAUGAAUCCUUAUUCUUGUAGACUAUUCAAUAAUCUUUGAACAACGGCAUGUUUGUGACUAAGCUAUACUAAUAAAACAUCAAAUAUCUUAUCAAGAUAACUGAGCUUGUUGAGGAAAACCACAAGCCAGUAGCAGAAGACCUAAAAAAUAGAAGCAAUAGAUUAUAAAAGAAGCCCUGAAAAUAAAAACAUGGCAUUUGCACCAGUCACUAAAGAGAUGACAUCUCAUUAAUUAGAUAAAACCAGUUCUAAAGGUAAUCAGUGAAGAAAGAGCAAGUGGACGCAGGUAACAAAUAUGCAAGAAUAUUCAAGCUCAUUCCAGGUAGGGGAGAAAUCAUUGAUACAGUAACCACCAUUUUAUUUACUCUAGUGGAAAAGAUUGGUGAUUUUCCAGGAUAUUUUCCUUUUUUCUUGAAAACUAGAAAAAUCAGGUGUAGGAUGCAGAGGAGGAAAAGAAGAAUGUAAAUACCAUGGGAGAGAGGAGAUCAGUACAAAAAAAAAAAAAAAAAAAAAAAAAAAAAAGUGUUUCAGUUUUAACUAUUAUCGUCAUUGUCAAUUAACGAUAACAAGUGGAUGAUUUCAAAUAGUUUUAUCAGUAUUAUUCUGAUCAGACUAGUAAUAUUUAUUUGAAUAGACUCUCAGGGCUUUAACUGGACCACCACCAAUAAGUUCUUGGCUUUGUAUAUAUUCUUUUUAGCGUAGAUCACGUAAAAAUUACAGCGUUUUGUCUGGUACAUUACUUUGAGAAUUGGCUGUUAAAAACAGGAUGUGACAUGGUCUAAAUUUUUAUUUUCUCUUGCAGUAUGCACAUAGCAUUUAGCUAGAUCUUUAACAUGAAAUGAAAACAAAAACAAAAACAAGUUACUCUUCACCUAAAUAAAACAUACAUAAAAGCAUUUAAUCAAUAUUAAAAAGGAUGUGGAUCUUCCUUUCCCUUCAUAUUUAGUUUUACAUAGGAUACAUGUCAAAAGAAUACUGGAAUUUAUUCAAACACAAAAUGGUUUCUCCUUCAUUUUUUUCUUUUCAGAACCCUGGAGUGCAUGUCAUCAGGCCAUGUAGACUUGUACACAUUCCACCAUUCAUGAGGUGGUCUUGAACUUACUCUUUGCUUGCAGUAUGAAGGAUUUUGCUCCCCCACUCAUAACCUAGAGGUUCGAGGACAAAAGAGAUAUCCCACUCACCAACCAGGAAGAUCAAAGAGAAUACAACCUGUAUUCCUGAUCCCUUCAACAUCUUCCCAAGGAAUAUAAAGACUCUUCUAAUAUUCUUCAAUAUCUUUGUUGAAGUCUUCUAUGACUCAACUUGAAAGAAGAGGAGUGGAGGGUAGUCCUUGGGUUUUAUAACUGAAAACAAAUAGAUAAAUAAUUAAGAAAGAAAGAAAUUAAAGAGCCAGUAGAUGGAUGAUUAAUCUGAUAGACGAUUAAUGAAAAAAACUAUCAUCUACCCUUUUUUUUACCCAAUACUCCAGUACUUGCAUGCAUUAUUUUAAUAUUAUUUUUUACACACAAAUCUGGGGUAAUGAAGAGAUAUAUGUUGAAAUCCAUUUGACACUUUUAAUGCACCUGAAGAGCAGUUUGUUUACAGUGGGGAGAAAUAAGCUGAUAUAUCAGAACUAGUGUUUACUAGUUUGGUCAAGGUGAAACUAUUCAGAAGUAUAUGAGAAAAUAUUGCAGUGGUAAUGAAAGGAGAGACUGAAAGAUGGAUAAUGUAACAUAAACUUUAAUUCAAAAAUAUAACUCUGAAUUACUUUCAAGGUUUUGAAGCUGCAAAUCUAGGUUCUUAUUCUCAGUAUAUUUAGGAAGAUUUUAAUACAUUCAUCAUCUCAGAAGUGUACAACAGCUACAGACUGUUGGAUUCUCAUGUCCAGAAUUUUCUCAGUGUUAAUAGGUUGGUGCCCUUGCCUAGUCAGCUGUGCUGCACUUAUAUGUGUAUGUGCACAUCUAUGUUUAACUUUUCUGUACGUGGUUUGGUUAAAAAAUAACUGCAGCAGAAUGACUGAAAAAAGCAUUUAAAUUUACAAGUCCAAACAAAAGAAUAAAAGAUGGAUAUUAACUGCUACAGGAAUGAUAUAUGCAUUCUUACAAAACUGUACUUUAUUACUGAUAUGGCUUUGCAUAGGGCAUUAAAUAGAACUUUAUAGAAAUGAGAAAUGCAAGUACUUAAAAAGUAAAUUAAAAAACCUAAAGAGAUUUCUGAUUCAUCACACUAUGUCCUGUUGUGUUUUUUCACUGUUGAUAAGCAAGCUGAUAACACAUUUUCUUUUCUGUUUUUGUGUUUUUUUUUUAUUUUACCCAUGUCAAAUAAAAAUAAAAUGGUUCUUCAGAUUUUCGAAAAAAAAAUACUGUAAUUACAGCAGAGGAAAACAUCAUGUUCUUUCAGCUUUCAAUAUUUUUUGAAAUGAUUAUCAUUCCAAAAUGUUGUUUUUUUAUGUGUUUAAUAUUUAUUUUCUGUAACAAAGGGCAUACUUUAUCAGGGACUAAUGGAAAUGACACUAAAGAUUAUAAAAAGAAAAUCAGAUUAUUUUCUCAGUGUCUGCAUGUUGUAUUGGAAGUAUUAAUCAUUGAGCAAUACAGAAAAUUUAGCAAAAUUUCUGGCAUGAAAGGCUACAAAUGGCAAUUACCACUGAUAAUCUCUAUAAAGCUUUAUUACCAGUAUAUAUAUGUGAGCAUACAAAAAGAUCACAAGAAGGAAGCUCAAUGCACAGCAGAGAGAGAAGACCAGAUGUCAGUUUUAAUCACAUUAAAACUUAUGCAGCCUUCAGAAAUGGUAGUAAUCUCAAUUUCCCUUCUUGCAAAAAGUUCCACUGGAUAGCAUUUUUAUGAGAGUUACUUUCAAUUAUAGCUUUAGAUAGAAAUUCUGGGUGUUAUAAUUUGCCUUUUUGACACAUCUGCUCAAUUAUGAGUUCUUUGUUUGUACUUGAUCUCUGCUCUCUAGGUAAUAGUUUGUUCUGGUAAAUCCUACUGAUAAUACAUGAACAACAAAUUAAGUCCUGGAUGUAGUAAGUACUACCUUUUUUUUUUUUUUUCUUCCUUUUUUUUCUUUCUUAAUCAAUAGAUUCUUACAUAAAUAUUAUGGUUUUAUGAAUUUGGUUAUUGGUACUCCACAUCAUAACAUCAUGUAGUGCACUAGGAGUUAAUUCCUUGUUUAAAAAGAAAAUAAACAACAAGAAUUCUAAAAGAUUUUAAAGUUAUUUUUGUUUUAAUUAUUAUUUUUAUUUUAAUAAAACUGUAGUAAAAUCUUUCCCAACCCAGUGUUUCACAGUAUAGUUACCUCUUACUACAUGGAGCGUCACAAUUCUUUGGCCUUUUGGUAGUCACUUGAUCACAGACUUAAGUUAAAUGCUUAUGUAUCAUUCCUGAAUUUGCCUUCAUGUUAUUGUAAAAUACAUACAUAUUUGUCUUACAGUAUGUACAAUUAUAGUGGGUUUUGCUCUAUUUUAGUAUGCUUCUGUUGGGCUCAAGGCAAGCCAAUAUUGUGCCCCGAUUAUUGCAUUCCUAAUUUAAAAUGCUAUGGGCCUCUACUUUCACUAAAGUACACUCUUAAAAAGUAGUAAUGUUUCUUACAGAAUGAUACCUGUUAUAAAUAUAGUAACUAAGCAUUAACUUGGUCUUGAAAAUGUGAGACAUACCAAAAAUAAAUUGCAAUAAAUUUGAAUCAUUUUUAAGAGCUGCCAAAAAGCAUAAAUGUCACAACAUCAUUUUCCCAUUAUAGUAAUUGAAUUUCUUACUUCAAGUGUCUUUGUAAUUGCACAGUUUUAAAUCACUGUGUUAAAAGCAAAAUCUUGGUUAGCAGGAAAUGGUUUUCUCAUGGAUCAUUGGAGGGAUCGAGACCCACCAGCUUGGAAAAGGGAGAUAAAAUGGGACAAUCAAACGUUAGCAGAAGCUGGUCGCAUUGAGCCUUUAGUUUGAUCACCACUAUCUGUUCUACAUUCUUAUUAAGUGUUUCUAACUGCCUUCUAUGAGAAUGCCCUCCCUGUUUCGUCCUCUGUGUGUGAAAUUCAUGUUGAACCAGCCAUUAAGAGAAGAGGUCUGAGUGCCAGCUAUUGGGUAGUGUCAUGCUCUAUGGUUGUGUUUGUGUGAAACUUCUGGAGAACUUAAAGCCAAUAACCUUCAUGUAUUUGGUCUAACUAUAACACAAGGGAAGGUGAAAUAUAAUGUAGCGAACAAAAACUUAAGUACGAUUCAGUACAAUAUAUAUAUAUAUAUUUUUUUUUUCCAUUUCCUUGUGGUAACUUCUACAGGGAAAAAAUACUUUCUUGAUAAAUUCUGAACAUUUCCUACUCUAUGAAAUAAAUAUCUUUGAAAGUUUGAAAUUUCUAGUGACUGUCUAAAAAAGGCGUAUUUUGAUUCUUUCUGUAAAUAAACAAUGAGUGAAGUGCAUACUACCAUACUGAGAUUAAUGACAAUUCCUAUCAACUUCCUUUGCAUUAGAAUAUUCCUUCAAACAUUUGUACAAAAGUCUGGUCUAGGCAUUAAGAAAACAUAUGUGAAAAGAAUGUGUUUCUUCAAGUUCAACUAAUUAUGUCAAAUCUACAUUUAUACUAUAGAUUUGGAGAGUAGUGUAUAUAUAUUAUAAAUUCUACAUAUGUGUUGCAUUAAUGCACAAUCCUAAAAAAAAAUGUUGAAUUAUCUAUUUUUGUACAAAUAUAGUAUGGUCAGAAAAUUCUGUUUGCAAUAAUCACAUUGGCAUUGAGAACUGAAUAAAAUACAUAUUUAUAGGUAGAUUAAAAGAAAACUAUCUUCUCCAACCAAAAGUAAAUUUUACCACUAAUGAUAUAACAAAAACACACUUUUUUUUUUUUUUUUUUUUUUAAGAGAAAAAUAUUUUAAAAAUGCUGGUAGUUACAGCUAUGAAACUGCUAUAUACUACAUGAAAUCAUAGUUAGAGCCAGAUGACUAUAAAGCCUACACACCAUUUAACUACAAGUGUUUAGGAAAAAAGGUGGUUUCAGUUAGUUCAUUAGAUACAACAGUGCAGUUCUUUUCCAAUAGGCAGACCAAAAGAUUAUUAUUCACUACUAAAAUAAUGUUUAUCAAAAAAUGUUAAUGUUUCACAUAGUUUUUUUUUUUUUUUAAUAAUAUCAGUCUCUUUUUAAAUAUUGAGGACAAAUUGUUUUCUUGAUAGAAAGCUAAAUGCUUUAGAUCUCUUUCUAUGAGGGCUUAUCUGAAAAUAAUGUUUCCUAUGUUAUUAGGUUGGCUCACAGAGUCAGAGGCAAAUGCUUAUGGUAUAAAGAAUGUUGAACCUUCCUGCCAAUAUUCCAUUAAAUUUGCUUGCCCUGCAACAGAUAGCAGCAGAGGCGCAGUCUAACAAAAUGGCAUCUAACAUGGAAGUGCAUAUAAAGCAAUAGGUAUGCAAUUGAAUUCCUUCGUGUAGAAAAAAAAUGUCAACCAUUCACAUUCAUUGGCACUUACUGAACAUUUAUGGAGGCCAAACAGUGGAUGUAAGCAUAAUUGAGGUGGUGGGUGUUUCCACACUGAUGACAGUGAUAUGAAGACAAGGCACAUUCUGGACCGCCAUGCAGAUUUUUGUACGUGCUGCAUGCUGGCUCUUUUUCAUCGCUGGUGAAAAUUCAUAGCUAAUGGUGGUGGCUAUGUUGAAAAAUAGUGUUUUAUAGCCAAGAGGUUUGUCUAUCAAAUAGUGUUCUUGCACUCUUUGUAUCUGUUACAGUUUCCAUGGUAAUAAAUAGGAGGCAUUACUUACAGAACAACCUAGGUAAGAUGGAAAAAAAAAAGAUAUGUUGGCAUUCACAUUAACUGUAUCCUGUCAUAUGUGGUCAUUAAAAUUAAUUUUUAUGUUUUCAAAAGUUAAUAUGAAUAGAAUGUAUUGCUGUUGAUUUCUUAACUACUAAUGGUCUUAUUCCAAAGGGAUAUUUCAAUUACUUUCUUCCUUUGUAUUUUUUCCUAAAUAUAAUAGGAGUUCACAUUUGUUUCUCUGAGUGUAUAAUCAAAUCAAACGUUUAGAAAUAUGGCUGACUCAGGACUUUAAUAUAUUACAGCUCAAAUAAAUAACACAUGUACAGUUUUGUGUAAUUUUAAAAGCUGUGUGAAGAUGAGUGUGUUUUCAUUUGUCUGCUCCAGCAACAAAAUUCCUACAGAAUACAAUUUCAUCUCUGGCAGUAAAACAUGUAUUUUCAAAUGAAAGGACUCUUAGAUGUAUGUAAAGAACAAAUAGUCAAUUUGUUUCAAUCAACACCUCUUUGAAUAAAUAAAAUACAAAAAUUACUCAUAAUGUUGGUAAAGGAUUUGUAUAUUAAUUUUGUGUAUAUGUAUAUGUUCUUUGUGUUGGUAUGUAUGUUCAUGAAAACAUCUAUAUAUUUCCAGUACUUUUGAUUAAAUGACAUAGAUGAAAGCUAAAAAAGUCAAAGAAAUCCUGCUAGAAUGUUCUAAAAUAACUAGCUAACUAACUAACUAAAUAAAUAAAUAAGAGGAAAAAAAGUGAGAAAAGAAGAAGAAAUUAGAAUGAAAAAGAAAAACAAGCAAACAAACAGAAAUCUCACAACUGAAUGAUCUAUUUAUACUUGGCAUUCAAGUAAAUUACUAGUAGACUUUGCCUGAGGGUUUUCAGUUUUCCACAUUAACCUAUACAUUCAGUUGUUUGUGACUGAUACUUACUUAUUCUUCUAGAAGUCAGUGCUGCUCACGUAUUACAGUCUGAUAUUUUCUUCACAAUAUAUCUUUAGCCUUUUAUAUAUUAAAGCAUAUAUUUCAUGAAAAAAAAUAUUUAACUUUAUAAAAAAGAACGAAUGUAACAAAAUGACAGCUGUCUACCUACA
RNAcentral lists this long non-coding RNA (11564 nucleotides) under Gallus gallus (chicken). Lineage: Eukaryota; Metazoa; Chordata; Aves; Galliformes; Phasianidae. The record is from RNAcentral.